GAUGAACGCUGGCGGCGUGCCUAAUACAUGCAAGUCGAGCGAACAGACGAGGAGCUUGCUCCUCUGACGUUAGCGGCGGACGGGUGAGUAACACGUGGAUAACCUACCUAUAAGACUGGGAUAACUUCGGGAAACCGGAGCUAAUACCGGAUAAUAUAUUGAACCGCAUGGUUCAAUAGUGAAAGACGGUUUUGCUGUCACUUAUAGAUGGAUCCGCGCCGCAGUAGCUAGUUGGUAAGGUAACGGCUUACCAAGGCGACGAUGCGUAGCCGACCUGAGAGGGUGAUCGGCCACACUGGAACUGAGACACGGUCCAGACUCCUACGGGAGGCAGCAGUAGGGAAUCUUCCGCAAUGGGCGAAAGCCUGACGGAGCAACGCCGCGUGAGUGAUGAAGGUCUUCGGAUCGUAAAACUCUGUUAUUAGGGAAGAACAAAUGUGUAAGUAACUAUGCACGUCUUGACGGUACCUAAUCAGAAAGCCACGGCUAACUACGU
RNAcentral lists this ribosomal RNA (496 nucleotides) under uncultured bacterium. Its description in RNAcentral is "partial 16S ribosomal RNA". It matches the Rfam family "Bacterial small subunit ribosomal RNA", at positions 28 to 506 of the family's 1533-position model. The record is from RNAcentral.